RNAcentral lists this ribosomal RNA (203 nucleotides) under uncultured bacterium. Its description in RNAcentral is "partial 16S ribosomal RNA". It matches the Rfam family "Bacterial small subunit ribosomal RNA", at positions 1290 to 1500 of the family's 1533-position model. The record is from RNAcentral.
AGUUCGGAUCGAAGUCUGCAACCCGACUUCGUGAAGCUGGAUUCGCUAGUAAUCGCGCAUCAGCCAUGGCGCGGUGAAUACGUUCCCGGGCCUUGUACACACCGCCCGUCAAGCCAUGAAAGCCGGGGGUACCUGAAGUACGUAACCGCAAGGAGCGUCCUAGGGUAAAACUGGUAAUUGGGGCUAAGUCGUAACAAGGUACC